This is an RNA transcript of Agelaius phoeniceus (red-winged blackbird), 4336 nucleotides long. It is a transcript of the gene named KH RNA binding domain containing, signal transduction associated 1, with no coding region annotated. Lineage: Eukaryota; Metazoa; Chordata; Aves; Passeriformes; Icteridae. The record is from RefSeq and is a predicted model, not a curated record.
CCGGCCCGGCCCGGCCCGGCCCCCGCCUCCCGUCCCCGGCACCGCCUCAUGCAGCGUCGCGACGACCCUGCCGGUCGCUUAUCGCGGGGACAGGGCCCCGGCGGCCGCGCGCCGCCGCCGCGCCGAGCGCCCCGUGGCGGAGGGGCCCGCGGGGCCGCCAGCGGAGCGCAGCCGCCGCCCGGUGGGGCCGCAGCCGGCGGGGCUUCAGGCGCCGGUAAGAUGGAGCCCGAGAACAAGUACCUGCCCGAGCUGAUGGCAGAGAAGGACAGCCUGGACCCGUCCUUCACGCACGCCAUGCAGCUCCUGACCGCAGAAAUUGAAAAAAUUCAGAAGGGAGAGACAACAAAGAAGGAUGAGGAGGAGAACUACCUGGAUUUAUUUUCCCACAAGAACAUGAAACUGAAGGAACGAGUUCUGAUCCCUGUCAAACAAUACCCCAAGUUCAACUUUGUUGGGAAGAUUUUGGGACCCCAAGGCAACACCAUUAAGAGACUUCAGGAAGAAACUGGUGCUAAAAUCUCUGUACUGGGGAAAGGCUCCAUGAGGGACAAAGCCAAGGAGGAGGAGCUGCGCAAAGGGGGGGACCCCAAGUACGCCCACCUGCACAUGGACCUGCACGUGUUCAUCGAGGUCUUCGGGCCCCCGUGCGAGGCCUACGCCCUCAUGGCCCACGCCAUGGAGGAGGUCAAGAAAUUCCUGGUCCCUGACAUGAUGGAUGAUAUCUGCCAGGAGCAGUUCCUGGAGCUCUCCUAUCUCAACGGGGUCCCAGAGCCCAACCGCGGCCGAGGCGUCCCCGGGCGGGGCCGGGGGGCAGCCCCACCUCCCCCUGUGCCAAGGGGCCGUGGGGUGGGUCCCCCUCCUCCUCCUCCUCCCCCCAGGGGUGCCCUGGUGCGGGGAGCCCCCGUGCGCGGGGCCCUGGCCCGGGGCGCUGCCAUGGCCCGGGGGGUGCCCCCUCCCCCGGCCGUCAGGGGAGCCCCCGCGCCGCGGGCACGGGCAGCUGGCAUCCAGAGGAUCCCCCUGCCCCCUCCGCCCGUGCCAGAGAGCUACGAGGAAUAUGGCUACGAUGACACCUACGCAGAGCAGAGCUACGAGGGCUACGAGGGCUACUACAGCCAGGGCCAAGGGGAUACAGAAUAUUAUGAUUAUGGACAUGGGGAGGCACAGGAAACCUAUGAAGCUUAUGGCCAAGAUGACUGGAAUGGAACCCGGCCCUCCCUGAAGGCCCCCCCAGCCCGGCCAGUCAAGGGGGGCUACAGAGAGCACCCCUACGGCCGCUACUGACCCCAAAAACGGGGCCAAAAAUCCCAAUUUAGGAGCAAACUCUUGUUACUGGUUCUUGUAUCUCCCGGGAUUCCCGUUGCUUUACCCACAGCAGACAAGAAUUGGGGGCCCGUGACUCAACAGGAGGAGGAGGAGGAGGAGGAGGAAGAGCAGGGCCAGUGCCAGCUGGGUGAGUUUGGACUUUUGGGGGAUUUUUUUACAACCCCUUGUUGAGUUCCCAGCGUGGGGGUGGCACCAUCUGAGCUGCUAAAUUCCAAUUUUUAUUUCUUUUUCUUUCCUCUCCUUGGAUCCACACCAAAAAAACCAAAAGGGGAAAGCUGCUCCCCUGAGGUCACAGCGUGGAGGAGGCUCCUGAGCUGAGGUUUUUGGGGGGGAUUUUAAGGGAUUUUGGCACGCAGGAAUUUCAUGGGAGCUCUGGAAGCUUCUUUGCUUCCCAAACUUUGGGAUAUUUUUUCCCCCAUGCUCAAGGAAUUCCCUCUGGAGGCCACAAUUCAGGGAAAUCCAGGAAGAAUUCCAGGCUGCAGAGCUUUGCACAGCCUCUGUUAUGGGAUGUGGCUUUGAUGGAAUCCUGCCAGGGAAUCUCCCCACGGUGAUUUUUGGGGCUUUCAAACCCUAAAAAAUGGUGGGGUUUUUUUCUGGUAAUUCUCGUGACAAAACAAAAAAAUUUUUUGAGCUUGUCAAGCUUAGAUUUAUUUUAAAAAAUACAAAAAAAGACAAAAGAAGUUGCUUUGCACCCUCUGGAAGUUGCUGAAAGUGGUUUUGGGCCAGAAAUCUGAAUUUGGAAAGCAUUUGAUGGUUGUUUGCUUGGUGAUUUAGAUUAAUCUCACCCCAUUGCCAUGGGCAGGGAUUCCUUUCCCUGUCCCAAGUUGCUCUAACCUGGAACAUUUUCAGGGAUGGAGCAGAGGGGAUGAUUCCCUAAAAAAAAAUCUCUUUUCUGGAUGAUUUGGAGUGGUUGUGGGGUGAUCACAUCAGCAAGGACACAAUUCCUUCAUCCCCUUCCCUGUGGGAUUCCAAAAUGCUGCCCCUGGAAAUCUGAGCUCCACAAAUCAAAAUCCACCUUGAAAUGCUGGAAAAGCCCAAAUCCAAGCUGAGCAUGGGACAUCAAAGGAUAAAUCUUAAUUUUAUAGGGGGUUAUAAAGCUCCCAAAUGAGCCCUUUUUACUCAGGAGCAUCAGGAGCAGGGAAGAGCCAAUUUGUGGGAAUGCUGCAGCAGGGGGUUCACCCUGAAUUCCUGCACUUGAAAAUUGAAUUUCUCUUAAAAAAAAUCUCUUUGCUGGGUGAUUGGGAGUGGUGGGGAGAUGAUCACAUCAGCAAGGACACAAUUCCUUCAUCCCCUUUCCUUAUGGGAUUCCAAAAUGCUGCCCCUGGAAAUCUGAGCUCCCUGGAAAUCUGAGCUCCACAAAUUAAAACCACCAAGGAAUCCACCCCUGAAAUGCUGGAAAAGCCCAAAUCCAACCUAAGCACGGGACAUAAAAGGAUAAAUCUUAAUUUUAUAGGGGAUUAUAAAGCUCUCUUUUACCUCAGGAGCAUCAGGAGCAGGGAAGAGCCAAUUUGUGGGAAUGCUUCAGCAGGGAGUUCACCCUGAAUUCCCUGAAAAUUGAAUUUCCCUCCUGGCAGGAGGGAAAUGAUAACAGGCCUGGAUUUGUGCUUAUCAAAUCCAUCUUCAUUUCCCGUGGAACUGGAGCAUCAAUUUUUUAUGGCAAUGCACCAAUCUCUCCCAUUUCUCUCCUAAAUAGGCCCAGCUUUUAGAUCAAGUGGAAAAGAUUUGAUAGAGAUCAUCUCUUAGCAAGCAAUUUAUUCCCAAAUGGAUCUUGUGGUGCUGCCUGUGCAAUAACCCAGCUCGUGCCUUGCUUUUUGUGGGAUGCUGAUGGGGAAAGGAUGGAAAUGUGAAAAUAUUGGAAUAACUGGAUGUGCUUGGGAGUGUUUUGCAAACAUCCCUUGGAUCAGACAGCUCCCUCCUUCCUUCCCUCCCUCUCCCAGCACUUUUCCAGCCAGGAUUUAGCCCUGGAGGCUGCCAGAGCUCAUUUGGGAUCCCAAAAUAAACCCCUCAGCUUCAGAAGCAGCCAAACACUGCGGGGUGAGGCAGGGAUUUGGGAGGGAUGGAGAUUCCUGGGAGCCUGAGUCACCUCAGUUACCUGCAGAACUUUCCCUUCCCUGCUGGAAUUCUGCUCCCAAGUGCCAGGGAUCUCCUCCUCUCCCUGUUUUCCCAUCCACAUCUUGUUAUUUGUAGGAUUUUGGGCAAGACCCCGAUCCAGAGAAAAUCCCCCGUUGUUCUUGGCUCUGUUCACAUCUCUGGAAGUGUUUCCCAACAAAAUCCUGGUUUUUGUCAGGCUGGGAACAGCCCCCUGCUCCAUGGCUCAGCAUUCCCAUCUUCCCAGGCUGCUGUGGUGUUUGUGAGGUGAGAGAUGAGGAUUUCACUCCCCAGGUUCCCAGAAGGCUGAUUUAUUAUUUUAUGAUGUUAUAUUAAAAGAAAAUUAUAUACUAAAACUAGUAUAUCUACUAAAUACUAAAUAUAUAUACUAAAACUACACUAAAGAAAGAAAAAAAGAGGCAUCAGAAGAUUAAACAAGAAUGAGAAUAAAAACUCGUGACUGACCAGAGUCUGACACAGCUGGCCUGAGAUUGGUCAUUAAUUUAACAAAAAUUAACAUGGAACCAAUCAAAGAUGCACUUGUUGGUAACCUCCAGACCACAUUCCAAGCAAUCAGAUAAUCAUGGUUUACAUUUUUUUUCUGAGGUUUCUCAGGAGAAAAAUCCUGGCAAAGGGAUUUUUUAGAGAAUGUCAUGGUGGCACCCAGGCCUUUUCCCUGAGUGGGAGCAGCUCCUCCAGUGCAGCCCUGAGGUGUCAAACCCCAGCCUGGCCCUGCUCUGAGCUGGCCCAAACCUGGAUUUUGUCCUUUGUGAGGAGCGAAUCCCAGGAAAACGCUCCAGCUGGAAUUCCAGAGGUGUCCCCAGCAGCUUUUCCUGGAAGGAGCCUCACCCCCUGCCCCUUCCUUACCCCUGCCUUCCAUUUUCUGUUUGCAUUAUUUCAAUAAAGCCAGUGGCUGCGAGCUUCA